AGAGCCGUCGCCAAGCGGUAAGGCAAGAGGUUUUGAUCCUCUCAUUCGUGGGUUCGAGUCCCGCCGGCUCUG
RNAcentral lists this transfer RNA (72 nucleotides) under Lachnospiraceae bacterium. Its description in RNAcentral is "tRNA-Gln". It matches the Rfam family "tRNA". Rfam says of the family: Transfer RNA (tRNA) molecules are approximately 80 nucleotides in length. RNAcentral also lists the same sequence under 2 other names. Lineage: Bacteria; Bacillati; Bacillota; Clostridia; Lachnospirales; Lachnospiraceae. The record is from RNAcentral.